Molecule: ribosomal RNA, 553 nt
Filed under: uncultured Bacillus sp.
Lineage: Bacteria; Bacillati; Bacillota; Bacilli; Caryophanales; Bacillaceae
Description: bacterial SSU rRNA
Rfam family: Bacterial small subunit ribosomal RNA
Source: RNAcentral
AGGGAAUCUUCCGCAAUGGACGAAAGUCUGACGGAGCAACGCCGCGUGAGUGAUGAAGGUUUUCGGAUCGUAAAGCUCUGUUGUUAGGGAAGAACAAGUGCGAGAGUAACUGCUCGCACCUUGACGGUACCUAACCAGAAAGCCACGGCUAACUACGUGCCAGCAGCCGCGGUAAUACGUAGGUGGCAAGCGUUGUCCGGAAUUAUUGGGCGUAAAGGGCUCGCAGGCGGUUUCUUAAGUCUGAUGUGAAAGCCCCCGGCUCAACCGGGGAGGGUCAUUGGAAACUGGGAAACUUGAGUGCAGAAGAGGAGAGUGGAAUUCCACGUGUAGCGGUGAAAUGCGUAGAGAUGUGGAGGAACACCAGUGGCGAAGGCGACUCUCUGGUCUGUAACUGACGCUGAGGAGCGAAAGCGUGGGGAGCGAACAGGAUUAGAUACCCUGGUAGUCCACGCCGUAAACGAUGAGUGCUAAGUGUUAGGGGGUUUCCGCCCCUUAGUGCUGCAGCUAACGCAUUAAGCACUCCGCCUGGGGAGUACGGUCGCAAGACUGAAAC